CGCCAUGACUGGCAUCCGAGCGCGGCGGUCUUCCGCGGAGCCACGCGGGUGCAGCUGAGCUCAGGGACUGCCGAAAGUGAAAGUGGCAUCACGGAAAUAACCAGUACUGUGGCUUGGUUACCGCCGAUCCUACAGCGAGGCGCAAAGUGCUUAUGACACCAAAGGUCCUGAAACAAAAGUCUCUAAAGGCAACACAGCUCCGGGUGGCCCUUGCUUUGACGCGGAGUGAGACUUUGAGAUCUCAAAACCCAAAAAAGGCCUCGACCACCAGAAUCCAGAAUCCCAGCCUCUGCAGUUGUUCAACAUCGCCCUGACCCUCAUCCCCAUCCUGCUCUGUAUGUACCCAACGUGGACAUCUUAUGUUUGCCCAGCCGGUACUCUGCCCUCCUGCUCUUGAUGACAGCAUCGCAAUUUCCUCCGAAGAACCAUUCCAUUACUUGCCAACGUGAGGUUCUGUCCACCAGGGGUGGGCAGUGCACCCAGGACCAUGGCCACUUAGAGAGACCACCACACUAACCACAGUGGAUGGGUCAGGUUGGGAUUUCACUGGGGUGGAAGGGAAGAAGCAGGCACUGAGGACCAUAUCCACCUCUAGCUGUUGGGCAGCCAUCUGAUGUUGGGUGGGGAGAGGCUGCAUGAGAGUACAGCCAAGAGAGAGGAGAGAGGAGCAGAGAGAUGGAAAGGGAGCCCCACACUCACCUAAGACAGCAAACCUAGUCAAUAAAUGCUGAGUGUGUUUUGACUGCUCCACCGACUGGCUGUUCCCCCAUCUCUCUUUCUUCUCUUCUCCUUCUUCUCCUUCUUCUUCCUCUUCCUCUUCUUCUUCUUCUUCCUCUUCUUCUUCUUUUUCUCCUUCUUCUCCUUCUCCUUCUUCUUCUUCCUCUUCCUCUUCUUCUUCUUCUUCCUCUUCUUCUUCUUUUUCUCCUUCUUCUCCUUCUCCUUCUUCUUCUUCCUCUUCCUCUUCUUCUCCUUCUUCUCCCUCUUCUCCUUCUUCUUCUUCUUCCUCUUCUUCUUCUUUUUCUCCUUCUUCUCCUCCUUCUUCUUCUUCUUCUUCUUUUUUUUUUUUUUUGCAGUACGUGGGCCUCUCACUGUUGUGGCCUCUCCCGUUGCGGAGCACAGGCUCCAGACGCGCAGGCUCAGCGGCCACGGCUCACGGGCGCAGCCGCUCUGCAGCAUGUGGGAUCUUCCCGGACCAGGGCACGAACCCGUGUCCCCUGCAUCGGCAGGCGGACUCUCAACCACUACGCCACCAGGGAAGCCCUUCUUCUUCUUCUCCUUCUUCUUCUUCUCCUUCUUCUUCUUCUUUCUUCUCCUCCUCCUCCCCCUCCCCCCUCCUCCUCCCCCUCCCCCUCCUCCUCCCCCUCCCCCUCCCCCUCUCCCUCCUCCUCCUCCUUCUCCUCCUCCUCCUUCUUCUCUCCCUCCUUCCCUCUCUCUCACCCCACCGCCCAGGCCUUCCUAUUCCCUGAGACACAACUAUAAUGAAAUUAGGCCAAUUGGCAACCCUACAGUGGCCUCUAAGUGUUGAAGGGAAAGGAGGAGUCGCAUGUCUCUUUAAAUAAAAAGCUAGAAAUGAGAAAGCAUAGUGAGGAAGGCAUAUUGAGAGCCGAUAUAAGAAAAAAGCUAGGCCUCUCUGCCAAACAGGCAGCCAAGUUGUGAAUGCAAAGGAAAAGUUCUUGAAGGAAAUUAAAGGGGCUAUUCCAGUGAGCAUACUAAUAAGAGAGCAAAACAGCCUUACUGCUGAUAUGGAGAAAGUUUCAGUGGUCUGGAUAGAAGAUUAAACAAACCACGACAUUCACUUAAGCCAGAGACUAAUCUAGAGCAAGGCCCUAAUUCUCUAUAACGUGAUGAAGGCUGAGAGAAGUAAGGAAGCUGCAGAAGAAAAGUUUGAAUCUAGCAGAGGUUGGCUCAUCAGGUUUAAGGAAAGAAGCCGUCUCCAUAACAUAGAAGUGCAAGGUGAAGCUGCAAGAGCUGAUGUAGAAGCUGCCAGUUAUCCAGAAGAUCUAGCUAAGGUCAUUCAUGAAGGCGGCUAUGCUAGACAACAGCUUUUCAGUGUUGAUGAAACAGCCUUAUAUUGGGAGAAGGUGUCAUCUAGGACUUUCAUAGCUAGAGAGGAGAAGUCAGUGCCUGGCUUCUAAGCUUCAGAGGACAGGCUGACUCUCUUGUUAGGGGCUAAUGCAGCUGGUGACUUUAAGCUGAAGCCAGUGCUCAUUUACCAUUCCAAAAAAACUUGCUAAAUCUGCUCUGCCUGUGCUCUUUAAAUGGAACCAGAAAGCCUAGAUGAUAGCAUAUCUGUUUACAGCAUGGUUUACUGAAUACUUUAAGCCCAGUGUUGAGACCUACUGCUCAGAAAAAUAUUACUGCUCAUUGACAAUGCACCUCAUCACCCAAGAGCUUUGAUGGAGAUGUACAACAAGAUUAGUGUUGUGUUCACUCCUGCUAACACAACGUUCAUUGUUCAGCCCGUGGAUCAACGAGUCAUGUUGACUUUCAAGUCCUAUUAUUUAAGAAAUACAUUUUGAGGGCUUCCACGGUGGCGCAGUGGUUGAGAGUCCGCCUGCCGAUGCAGGGGACACGGGUUCGUGCCCCGGUCCGGGAAGAUCCCAUAUGCCGCGGAGCGGCGGGGCCUGUGAGCCAUGGCCGCUGAGCCUGCGCGUCUGGAACCUGUGCUCCGCAACGGAAGAGGCCACAGCAGUAAGAGGCACGCGUACCGCAAAAAAAAAAAAAAAAAGAAGAAGAAAUACAUUUUGUAAGGCUAUAGCUGCCAUAGAUAAUGAUUCCUCUGAUGGAUAUGGGCAAAGGCAAUUGAAAACCUUCUAGAAAGGAUUUGCCACUCUAGAUGCCAUUAAGAACAUCAUGAUUCAUGGGAAGAGGUCAAAAUAUCAACAUUAACAGGAGUUUGGAAGAUGCUGAUUCCAAACUGCAUGGAUGACUUUGAGGGGUUCAAGACUUCAGUGGAGGAAGUAACUGCAGUUGUGGUGGAAAUAGCAAGAGAACUAGAAUUAGAAGUGGAGCCUGAAGAUGUGACUGAAUUCCUGCAGUCUCAGGAUAAAACUCUAAUGGAUGAGGAGUUGCUUCUUAUGGAUGAGCAAAGAAAGUGGUUUCUUGAGGUGGAAUCUCCUCCUGGGGAAGAUGCUGUGAAGAUGGUUGAAAUGACAACAAAGAACUGAGAAUAUUACAUAAACUUAGUUGAUUAAGCAGCAGCAGGGUUUGAGAGGAUUGACUCCAAUUUUAAAAGAAUUGUGGGAAAAUGCUAUCAAACAGCAUUGCAUGCUACAGAGAAAUUGUUUGUGAAAGGAAGAGUCAAUUGAUGUGGCAAACUUCAUUGUUGUCUUAUUUUAAGGAAUCGUCACAGCUACCUCAUCCUUCAGUAAUUACUACCCUGAUCAGUGAGCAGCCAACAACAUUGAAGCAAGACCCUCCACCAGCAAAAAGAUGAUGACUCAGAUGAUGUACACGGGCCUCUCACUGUUGUGGCCUCUCCUGUUGUGGAGCACAGGCUCUGGACGCACAGGCUCAGCGGCCAUGGCUCAUGGGCCCAGCCGCUCCGUGACAUGUGGGAUCUUCCCAGAUCGGGGCACAAACCUGUGUCCUCUGCAUCGGCAGGCGGACUCUCAACCACUGCGCCACCAGGGAAGCCCUAAAAUUAUAUUCUUAUUACAACUAUAUUAUUUUUUACAAGGCCAAAAAUAAUGCACAAAUUAUCUAGACUACAGGAGGUGAUUGUUGCCAGUGGUGAGACUCAGGGUAAUUGUAAAUGUUAUUUUGACUUUUAUACGCUUUCCAAAUAGAAGCAUUUAUUAUUUGUGUAAAUAGUAAAAAAAAAAAAACGAAAAAAAGUAUAAUUAUUUUAAAGUAAAAAGUAGCUGCUCUAGGGCAGGGAGACUGAUGAGCUGAGCCUAUCUCUUUCUGGGAGACUCCCAGGGUUGGGUGGAGACAAGAAUGAUAAUCUGCUGUCCUUAUUCAAGGGCCCCAGGACUCCACCCCCAGAGCAGGGGCUCCCUGGCCCCAGUCGCUGGUUGUCAGAUGGAACACACUCCCUCCCAGCCAGACGCAGCCUGGGCCCUGAAGGUCUAGCCCUGGACGUGGGUCUCUCCUGUGGCUGCUUGAAAUGCUCAGAGAGAUAUGGAGGGGGCCUUCUAUCACUCAUUACCCGGCCUGCUCCAACCAGAAAAAUCCUCACUUCCAUCACUGUCACCCUCUCCUACUUCUACUCCAUGGGGCACUUUUGGUAACGAUGGUGAUGCUGGUGGAUGAUAAUAUCUUACCAAGUCCCUCCGACACACCAGUCCUAUUAUGUAGAGCCUUUCUGUGAAUCCUUGCAAUGAGGUCUGUACCACCUUGAGAGAUACAUACAGUUAUCCUCACUUUACAGAUCAGGAGAUUUGGAGAGAUUAAGCCGUUUUCUCAAGCUCAUACAACUACUAAAUGGUAGAUCCACUUAGUGUUGACUAUUCCCAGUUCGUGCUCUUACCCACCGUCUUGAUGUAGGUUGAACGCCCAGCCUGUGCUCUAAGCCAUACUGUCUCCCAUCCUCCUGCAGGGGCCACCCCACUAUUUCAGCUGGCGAUGGCUUUCCUUUUUGUGUGUGUUUGUUUUGUCUGACGCUCAAUUCUUUUUUGAGUUUUUGGAGUUACAAAGCAAAACCAAAUUGUGCUUAUUAAAAAACAAGUUUCCCAAACCACAUAAAUAAGUGAUUCUAAAAGGAAAUUUUUCAACCAUUUAUGACAUUUGCCUUUACUCCGAUUUUUUUUUCUUUUGGCUUUCUUUUUUUAUGUCCUUCUCCAAGCAUCCUUCUUCCCCCAACUUCCUGAGAUGUGACGCAGCAAUUUCAGUAACCUGUGUGUGUGUGUAUCAUAGGUUCCCAUUAGUGCCCUCCCCCAGUGGCAUUUAUAUGAUGAAAUUGAAGCUGUAUAGAUAAAAGUCAUAAGGCUCCAAUGCACAACCAAAAUAUAAACUCGUGAAGUUGCAUAGAUUUGUGGUUGCCUAUGUAGGUGUUGCAUCGUGGGUAAGGAUGUGCCUGACUUUUCUCUGUAUCAGCCUACAGUGCCCAGUACAGGGCCUGGCACCUCAUGUGACUCAAUAAAAGCUCUCUGAAUAAAUGAAUGAAGGAGAGAACAAAUGAAUGUUUCCCAUUUUUUUUCACAGCUUGAGGGAUCGUAGUUCCCCAACCAGGGAUAAAACCCGUGCCCCCUACAGUGGAAGUGACGAAUCCUAACCACUGGACCUCCAAGGAAUUCCCAACAAAUGGAUGUUUUAAUGACAGCACAUAUGGCUUCAGUUUCUUCAUCUGUAAAACAAUUAUGAUUUUAUUCUCAUCUAUGAGAGUGAGAGCUCUGAAGCAUGGGGAAUAGACUGUAUUCUAGCACCCAACAAACACACUGCCUGGCAGACAGGAUAUACGCAAUAAAGGUGAGUUGUCUGAAGUGAAUUCCUCGAGACUCCUAGCAGGGGUCUGAGAACGGCCGAAGCAAGGCCUAAACGUGCCCUGCCUAUUUCUUAGAGAAGGACAUUUUGCUGUUAAAUGACUGAAAUGGAUUGUGUUAUCCGCCACUUUUGCAGAGUCUGUGUGCAAAUUAUACGCCUGAGGCUCUAGGAAGUGGUCCCCAAGAGUUGGAAGCAUUCAGUGUCCUAGGGUAGCCCCAGGCCAGGCCCUCAGGGAGCUAUAAGGGAAACCAGGAUCCUCCACUCCCCCUGGGCUUCAAGACUAUAAAACUCGGUCAGACCCGGACCCAGCUUCCUUUGGAGAACUGAGGCUGGAACCACCCUAGGAUUCUGCUCCUCUCUACUGAGCACCUGCUAAGGGGGAGGAACUGGAAUGGGCUGCUGCUGCUUUUCAGGCAAAAGCCCCUUUAAUUGCUGUAAGGAAUCCAGGAGGGUAAAAGGACUGGAGGGGCUCCGACAGGGUUUCUCAUUUCUCUGGGGGAAGACUCGCCUGCCUUCCCACCUGCCUGGAAUCUACAGCUCUGAACAGUCUUUCAAAGAGCCUCCCUUUCCAGCGCUUUUCCCUCCUUCCCCAUCUCAUUUUCCCUCCUCCUCCCUCUCUCCGCAGCCUCCUUACCCACCGCAGCACCUACACAGAGUCGUCUCUCAAACAGCAUCUUUGAAUCAAAAACUGAAUGAGCCCGCUCCUUGCCCUCCCCUCCUCCCCCUGCCCCAAAGUCUCUCUCCCUCUCUCCCCUCCACACACACAUUUCCCUUCUGCCACCUUCACCACCAUCCAACACAGCAGCUUCCGGAAGCUAGUAGAGUCGUUAUCUUAUUUUGCUCCCAUAUCUGGGGAUCCCUGAAUGCUGCGGGCCGCCAGGUGGGAGGAGGGCCCCCGGAAAAAAGAUGGGUCCUUGGAAUGGGUCCUUCCUCAAAAGUGCCUUGCAACCAAUCCAUCUCUCUGCCACCGAUUUUCCAGAGUGAGAGAGGAAUUCCGCCCCCAGCUUUGUCAACAUCCCUUCCAUGUCCACCUAGUAGAGUGGCCCACCCAGCUGUACGCUUGGCCUGUCUUGUUUCCAUGGAGCCCAGCUGGGCCUCCGUGUGGCUCCCAUUCUCCCAAGCAUCUUGGUGGAGUUGGCAGCGAGUGACAGGCUGGGGUGCUGGAGGACCCGGCUGCCAGGGGAACAUCCAUCUCUAGGAGAGGAAAUCCCAUUGAGUGGGACCCCCUGCCCUGGGUUGCACCCCUCUGUUUGCAGGUGAAGCCAGGUCAACACAGGUCAGAGUUGUCUAGGAGGGUCAUGGGCCGCUAAGGAUGUGGGUGGAAGCAAGGAGGGGUGGCCCCACCCAUUUUAGUGCCGGGGUUGGGGAUGCUCCCAGAUUAAUUACAGGUGUAUGAGCCUAAGGUCUUCUGAGCACUGGGACCUGGAGUUCUCUAUCUCUCCCCACUCCCCUCCCUUCUCUAUCUGACUCACCGGAGCUUUCUACAGUCCUGCCAGGCUCCCCAAUCUCAGGAGCUGCAGCAAGGGACGGCUUUCCCUGGGCUUUGCCACGUCUUUCUAUUACAUUUGCAUUGUUUCUGCACCUCCCCCCAGUGACCCUGCCUUUGCCCCUACCUAAUUAUGAUGAUAAGAACUGCAACAAAAAUAAGCUAGUAUCCCAUGGCCGCUGAGCAUGCACGUCCGGAGCCUGUGCUCCGCAACGGGAGAGGCCACAGCAGUGAGAGGCCCGUGUACCGCAAGAAAAAAAAAAAAAAAAAGCUAGUAUCUAUUGAGUGUAUCAAACUUAUUAAACCUGAUUAACUCUUCCAACCACGUGGAGUAAGAAUUAUCAUCUGCAUCUUCUGGUUGGAGGAAUGGAGGCUUAGAAAAGUCAAGAAACUUGUCCACACCAUCACCCAGCUGGCGAGCGGCUCCGCAGAACUCGUGCCUCAGCCACUCCUGCCCACGAGGGCCAGCUUUGCAGUCUGGCUCCCUUUUGACAACUUCUCCCCAACCAGCUCUGUGUUCCAUCCAUCAGUCCUCCCAAUCAGCAAGUGUCUACAAACCCCAGUCCGGGCCUGGGCCCCUGGAGGGGCUCAAAAGGCUGGAAAGCCAUAGCCCCUGCCCUGGAGUUACUGAGGAGACAGGACAAAAACAGAGAAAUUCACACACAACCCCUGGCUGACCCCUGCCAAGCCACUUCCCUUCCCUGAGCCUCGGUCUCCUUACCUGCAAAAUGAGCGGGUUGCACCGGAAGGCUGCAAGUACGCAAUCCUACUCAUCUCUGAUCACCUGAGUGCACCCCACUUAAUUAGAAGGUAGGAACACUGAGGCCCAGGGAUUAGGGCCAUGCCAGAAAAAAGCUGGAGCAAAGUCAGAAAAGAAAAUCACAAGGUUUGACCCUUAGAAGAAAAUGGCUUUGUUAUUAAGAAUAGGACUAACACUCAAGAAUGAUCCCAGCGAGGGCCCGGAGCGGGUAGAUGGGGGGGCGCGUCUACUGCUCCAUCCUUUUGUAUCUGACAAAGCCCGAGAGAGCGUCAGCCUGGUGUGGGUUUCCCCUUAGUUCUUGGGCGCUCAAGGAAAAGUAAGCCGGUUGCUUCUGAUCCUUUCAUUUCCAGAGUACCGCAGGGUGCCCGGAGAGCAGAGAGGCUCCAAAUGAGGCAUUUCUAAGCCUUUUUCUUAGGAGCAAGAAAUGGUGUUUGAGUGUGGAGGAGUGACCGGGAUGAGGCACCUCCAGGUUUGGAGAUGAGGGGACUGACCCGAACUGGAGGCUGCCUUUCCUUCAGGGCAUCUGGGUAGGAACACACGCAGCUCGCAGCGUGGUUGCUUCCCCCGCCAUCCUACAGCAGCGGUGGCAGAGCGAGAUUCAAGCUCGUCUUUUCACUGCCGAUCCAGCCCUGUCUUCAAUACCAGGGCAUGACGCUCAGACUGCAAUUAUGGCUCUAUAGUCAGAAGUCCAUCUUUGUUCCACCUCUGAAAGAAGGUCCCUAUAAAUCACAGUAUAGACAAAGUGAGGUAAGGACUGUGGUAGGCUGAACAAUGGCUCCCCAAAGAGAUCCCUGGAACCUAUGCAUCCUCCUUUAUAGGGGACUAGGGACUGGCAGGUGUGAUCAGAGAAGGACCUUGAGAUGGGGAGAUUAGCCUGGAUUAGCCAGGUGGCCCUAAAUAUAAUCCCAAGGGUCCUUAAAGACAGAGGCAAGAAGGUAAAAGGGGAAGCAGGAGAUAUGAGGAUGGGAGCAAGAGGGUGUGUGCGUGGCGGGGGGAAGGGGUCAGGAGACGAACAUGGGUAGCCUCCAGGAGCUCACCUGGAGGAAACAUUCCAAAGCCUCCAGGACUCCUCCAGGUGAACAUUUUGAUUUUGGUCCAGUGAAACUGACUUCAGACUCCUGGUCUCCAGAACUCCAGUAAGAGAAUCAAUCUGGGUUGUUUUAAGUCACCAAUAUGUGGUCAUUUGUUAGAGCAGCUACAGGAAGCUUAUACAAAUGCUAUUUACCCACUGAUGAGAAUAAACUAAAGCAUUUCAAAUGUAUGUCUUCAGAUGUAAAUAAUUUAUGAUAAUUCAUUGUAAGCAGAAACCAUGAUGGCUUCUCUUGGCCGGUUCUUGGAUAUUUGGAUUAAAAAUCAUUUUAAGUUAGUGGUUAAAGCCAAAACUAUACCCUACCAGACUUGGCAAGGCCUAAUUUUAUAUUGGUGAUAUGCAACUUUUGUUUACGUAUUUGAAAGUAAGUUUUAAAAUCUCUCUAUCAGACUUCUACUAAUGCAGACUGCCCUCCCCUCAAUGCAUCUAGGAAGGAAGUAUACUUUAGUAUAUAGGACACAAAGACUAAUAUACUAAGCAAGGAGGAGAGAAUUAGCAAGUUAAUUGCCCUUACUUAUGUGUUCACUUCCAUCCUGGUGAAGAAUUAUUUGUUCAGUUCUGUCUGGAAUGGAGGUGUCUACUUAGAAAUAUGUAUCUUUUGGGCAGUAAUGUAUCAUAUGCAUGAUAUAACUAGCUGAUAAUUCUAGAUGUUAUAACAAGGCAAACGCACAAACCGUUAGCUUUGGGACCAGACGUGUAACUAAAAAGAAAAUUCAUGGUUUGCUAAUAUUAUUCUCCGAGAAGGAGGUAGCAUGUGGAUUUCAGCUUUUCAGUAUGUCUUGGAUGUGUUUGUGCUUUUGUGUAAUUGUUAUUCACAAAGAUGAUGUUUAGCACACAUAUUAUCCGAUUGGAAUUAUCACCGACUAUACAAAUUACUAUCUGGAAUAAUGGCUGUGUUGAUUGUAAUCCUUUUGCUGAUGAACAUGGGCUUGAACAAAAAAUACAAAAAUCUAAUCAGCACAGGCUAAGGUGCAAGUCAUGCCGUAACAGGGAAGAAAUUUUGUAUCCUAUUACAAGUUAAUCAGUAAAGGAAUGUUGCCUAUAAGCUUACAUUAUGCAUAAUGGCCCGUCUCUGGGAACUCUGUCUCCCAGGUAAUGAGCAUUAAGCUAAAAUACCUUUGUUUAGCUCACAGGAAACAUCCUGACCAGACCCACCAGUGAAUGACUACAAGAAAGAAGAAACUAGCACAUUCCCACCAAAGUCUGCCUGGAACCAGGACUUUACCCCCUCCCCUUUUAGUAUAGAAGAAGACUGAAUUCUAAUUCGGAGAAGGUAGUUCUUUGGGACACUAGUCCCCCAUCUUCUCCGUCUACUGGCUUUCCUAGUAAAGUCGCUAUUCCUUGCCUCAACAACUUGUCUCUCAGUUUAUCAUCCCAUCCUGGGGUGCACAGCACGAGCUUGGACUCAGUAACGAUGCUAUCAUGAGGUAUUAACCCGCUUGCUUUCCAAAGCAGCUAGUAAGUAUUCACCGGUGCUCACUGAAUAGUGAGUUAAGGACAGGGACAAUCAUUAGAUACUUAGAAUGGUCUUUACCAUUAUUUCCUGGUGACAGGAUUGCCAGCACCAUGGUGGGGCUCAAAGAAGUAUCAUCUGCUCUACCUUCCAGAACAACCGUAGCAACCUAAAUAUAAAACCUGGAAUAUAAAUCAACUACUUCUGUUCUAAUAAUUCCGACAUGGAAUUGGAAGACAGUUGGAGACGUCACUGAAGAGUAGAUGUGAGGCUUGAACCAGCCCUUAAAAGAGAGAAAGAAAUGAUCAAAUGAGAGGUAGACAUGGGGGGUGUACCUGAGGCCUGCAGUUGGAUCCUGCCAUAAACAGCUUGCAUGCUGUUGAAGUAAAUUUGGGGCCCCAUUAAAUAUCUUCUUUUUUUUUUAUAAAUUUAUUUUUAUUUAUUUUUGGCUGCAUUGGGUCUUCGUUGCUGCGUGCGGGCUUUCUCUAGUUGCGGUGAGCGGGGGCUACUCUUCGUUGCGGUGCGCAGGCUUCUCAUUGUGGUGGCUUCUCUUGUUGCGGAGCACGGGCUCUAGGUGUACAGGCUUCAGUAGUCGUGGCGCAUGGACUCAGUAGUUGUGGUGCACAGGCUCAGUUGCUCCGCGGCAUGUGGGAUCUUCCCGGACCAGGGCUCGAAUCCCUGUCCACUGCAUUGGCAGGCGGAUUCUUAACCACUGCGCCACCAGGAAAGCCCUAAAUAUCUUCUUUAUGUUAUCCUCAGGGUAAAAUAUAUAUAAACACUGCCAGAUACUUUUUUUUAAAGGCCCAGCUGCUGUUGCUUGUAGAUGGGCAUUGAUGUGCACACAGAAUGCCCGGGUGUGGUGCUGAGUUGUCAUCCCACAACUCCUGCUUUCCAAGGCAGAGAAGCACCACUACAGUGUGUUCUGUUACAGCCCAGACUGGUACUAACCUACAGGGGGUACAUUUUAGGAUUUGGUCUCUGUGUUUUGUUUGGGGUUUGUGGUAAUUUGGGAUGAGUGUCCUCAUGGACUGUUUUACAUGAUAUGGUUCAGAACCUGUUGUCUGACCUAUCCUGGUCAGUUUCAGCCCAGGAUGUGACUUUUGUCUCCCCCUCUAGAUUGUGGACCCCAGGACCACAUCUCACUCUUCUGCUACAUCCUCUUCCACACCUUGCCUGGUGCCAGGCCCAGAGGGAUGCACCCUAAACCUGAAUCAAAUUGCAAAGCCAAACAGAUGCCAGUGGAAGGAUUUGGUGGGAUUUAAUAGCAACCUAUGAACUUGGGAAGCUAGAGAGUAAGGGAGAAUGAGUCUUUCCUAUUAUUCAAAUUGUCUGAGUUGCUUUCCUUCCAUAUUCUUGUGUUGAAAUCACUGCUAGAAACCUUUCUUGUCUAAAACAGGUAAGUAACCACCUUCAAACAGCCAGGGGGUCUCUCUAAAGCUGCCAGGACCAUAUGUAGAGUUUUAAUGGCAACAGGCCACUGAUACAUUUUUCUUCCAUUCCACCUGGGGAAAAAUCCCCCAAGCCCACUUUACUCUGAGGCCAAUGGACAGAUAUGCGAAGGUCCACCUGUCAGUGUGGGCUGCUGGAGGGAGGACGUGGCUACUGAGUGUCUCAGAGCUGACUGCACGGAAGACAGCCCAGGCCUGGCUCUCUCAUCACACAUAGGACCAGGACAGGUCUGCCCACCCAGCCUGAGCCUCCCUGUGUGGCAUCGCCAAGCUGGGGGCUAUUUCCUCCCUUGCAGACCUGGAAGCAGUGAGUCUGACAGUGACAGCAAUCUGCCCUGACAAUCAGGUAUGAACACAGGUGGGAAGACCGAAACACCUGCCCCUUCCCGUGAGUACUGGGGCAGACGUGCAGCAGUGACGCCCCUUCCAGAAGCAAGGACACCUUCUUACCCCUUUGGUGACAUUUGCCUCUUGUAGAAGGGGCACUGCCCCGGGAAGGGCACAUGCCUUAGAUCAUAUAGUCGCAGGCAGUGGGGGACUCUUGGUCUGUGGCUCUAACCCACAGCUUUGCCCAUUGGGCCACACCACCCCGCUACUGCCUGUCACCUGUGCUAUCAUCAGCUCCAAGUGCUCUAUCUAGAAAGUGCUUCUCUCUCAUUCUCCCUUUUCUUUUUUUUGUUCCCUGGGUCUAUUUGUUUUUGUUUGUUUCUUGUUUAUUUUGUUCCAGGCACCCUUGUUGGGGAAGUAGACCAGGGAGGCCCCAGAUACCCGGGCUGGGUGGACUGCUAUCUCUGGUUGACACAUCUGCCUGCAGGGCUCGCUCCUCCCUCACAGCUGGCAGCUGCCCACCGGGAGAUGGCUGCGGCUUGGAAUCUGCAGCGGCCCAGCUGAGGGCUGGCUCCCCGCCCCUGCAGGUGGUGGAGAUGACGCCUCUGGAGUGCCAAGCCUCCCCCACAUCACCCCAACACACGCAGGGCCCUACAGCCCAUUUCUUCUCUCCUCCUGUGGUUUCUUCUUGCUGCUGUUUGGUCAAGAAGAGAGGAAAGACCCCGAGGCUGCACCCUGUUAUUAGGCGACAGUCAUUUACAUCCUCGAGCUCUAAGUCAGGGGUCAGGAAUGAACCCAAAAGUAGGCAUCGCUGGGGAGAACUGAGCACACCUGCUCUGGUUUGGGCAGGGCAGGCGGAGGUGGACGUGGAGCUCAAGACCCUUCCCGUCUGCCUCCCGUGCCUCAGUUUCCCCAUCUGAACCAUCUUCUCCAAAACAACUUACUGCUCUCAGAGCAGAAAAAUUGGAAGAACCUGAAAUAUUUAAAGAAAAAAAUCACCCACAAUUCUGCCAUUAAUAUCUUGCUGUUUUCAUCUAUCUUUUUCAUAUAACUGAAUCACCCUGCCUAUGCAAUGAUGGACCCUGUUUUUAAACAACAACCUUUCCAUAAUGAACAAGUCAUACAUGUUCAUUAUGGAACAUUCAGAAAAUUCAAACACAAAGAAGGAAAAUGACUUUUUGCUGCUCCCUUGAGAAAUAACAAACAGUAAUGUUUUGAUGUUGUCUUUCUGGUCUUUUUAAUAAGCAUGAUAUACCAAAAGGAAAAAUAACGCACAGUAUUCACACUUUCCAUACUUUUGGGCAACUUUUCCUUUUUCCCUUAACUCAGCGUGAAUAAUUUUUAUAUUAUUAUAUGUUCUUUUGCCUCAUUUAUGAUGACAGAA
Orcinus orca (killer whale) is the source of this 13372-nucleotide RNA transcript. It is a transcript of the gene named alpha/beta hydrolase domain-containing protein 17B-like, with no coding region annotated. The transcript is spliced from 5 exons. The record is from RefSeq and is a predicted model, not a curated record. Lineage: Eukaryota; Metazoa; Chordata; Mammalia; Artiodactyla; Delphinidae.